CUAGAGUUCAGUCUUGCCCAUAACUAGAGUGCUAGGACUCAACAGAGAGACAUCUCAUGUAUAAACUUAUGGACAUAUCAAAAUAGAACAUGUGUAUUCUUCAUGGACUUCCAGUUUCAACAAUUGCUGUUGAUUUGGAGAAUAGAUUUUCACUGAAAGGUUAGUGAUAUUUGGUCCCAUCCUCUCUUAUGAUGCUGGCAGCAAGCUGCAGCUCCAAGUCAGUCACAGGAUCAUGAGGGAGAUGAUGGAUCUUAACUAAACUUACUGGGCUUGUCUCAUCACAAUAUGGAGACAAGUGAAUAGCUUACGAAGCUAAAUUUAGCUGGCCCAAGAGCACAAGAAUCAAUAAAGAAACUGCAGAGUGAAUAAAUCUCUUUCUUCUUGAAAGGAUCCAUGAUAUGAAUUCACAUGAUCCUAUCUAAAUUAAGCCUGACUUUUGCUCACUGAGAGAUUGUGUUUUACUUGGAGGUCUGCAAAUAUAAGAUUAUAACUCUAAUCACAGUGUCAUGCUUAUGUGAUGUAACCACAGCUCAAACCAUCAGCAGAAAGCUCUGAGAGUCCAAGAUUUUCAAUCACAAGAGUAAAAUCAAGCUGAUUAAAUAUCAUAAAUUACAGCCAUGAAACACAUAGACAAGGUAAAGCCCUUACUUCUCAUCAGAUAAAGCAGGAUCUACCUUGCUCAGAGCCUGUGAGGGCCAAGAAGACAAUCCCUAUAACAAGGCAUUUGGUACUACACUUGAGAGAGAAGCUCCUCAAAGUGUCUUCUUCCUGGGUGUCUUUGGAUAAUGGAGAAAACAUAUACCAUAUUUGGAUGAGUCAUGCCUUCCUAUUUGUCAACUAUGCAUAAUACCACCCCUUUUGACUGUGACCCAGAGCAAGAGAAGGCUGUUCUAUUAAUCCAGCUCGCACUACAAAAUAGCUCUUAUUUGGGCUACAUGACUGAAUAAAUCCAAUUGUGC
Canis lupus familiaris (dog) is the source of this 959-nucleotide long non-coding RNA. RefSeq lists it as uncharacterized. The transcript has 9 exons. The record is from RefSeq and is a predicted model, not a curated record. Lineage: Eukaryota; Metazoa; Chordata; Mammalia; Carnivora; Canidae.